This 523-nucleotide ribosomal RNA is filed under the name uncultured bacterium. Its description in RNAcentral is "bacterial SSU rRNA". It matches the Rfam family "Bacterial small subunit ribosomal RNA", at positions 524 to 1050 of the family's 1533-position model. The record is from RNAcentral.
UACGGAGGAUCCGAGCGUUAUCCGGAUUUAUUGGGUUUAAAGGGUGCGCAGGCGGGAGAUUAAGUCGGCGGUGAAAUUUUGCAGCUCAACUGUAAAAGUGCCUUCGAAACUGGUUUUCUUGAGUAUGGAUGAAGUAGGCGGAAUUUGUGGUGUAGCGGUGAAAUGCAUAGAUAUCACGAGGAACUCCGAUUGCGCAGGCAGCUUACUAAGCCAUAACUGACGCUCAUGCACGAAGGCGUGGGGAUCAAACAGGAUUAGAUACCCUGGUAGUCCACGCAGUAAACGAUGAUUACUCGCUGUUUGCGAUACAAUGUAAGCGGCUAAGCGAAAGCAUUAAGUAAUCCACCUGGGGAGUACGUUCGCAAGAAUGAAACUCAAAGGAAUUGACGGGGGCCCGCACAAGCGGAGGAACAUGUGGUUUAAUUCGAUGAUACGCGAGGAACCUUACCCGGGCUUGAAAUGCAUCUGACGUGGGCAGAGACGCCCAUUCCCCUCGGGGCAGAUGUGUAGGUGCUGCAUGGUU